GCUUAGCAUGAAGUGAAGCACAUACACCUGCUGAAUUUAAGCAUAUAAGUAAGUGGUGGAAAUUAAACCAAAUGGGAUAUCUUUAGUAAUUGCGAAUGAACAAGGAUAUGCUUAGCUUGACAAAUGGAGCUAUUGGCUUUGAAUUGUAUUGUGGAAAUGUAUUACCAACAGAGGUGCAGGUGCCAGCCUAUUGAAAUAAAGCGUCAAUGAGGGUGAGAAUCCUGUUUGUCAUGUGCAGCCCUUUGUGCACGGUGUAUAUUUGCUGAGUCACACUCCUUGGCAUUGGAAUGCAAAGUGGGUGGUAGUUUCAUGUAAAGGUAAACAUGCAAUUGAGACUGAUAGCACACAAGUACCAUGAGGGAAAUAUGAAAAGGACUUUGAAAAGAGAAUUAAAUGAGUUUGUAUUUGCUGAACACAAAGUAAACAGACUUGAUUUGCUUGGUGGGAGUGUUGCACUUGCUUGACAAGAGCUUUGGGCUGUGGGUGUAAUGAUUCUUUCUUUGCAUGCCAGUUUCUAUUUGUACAUCUGAUUACCUUUGCACAUGAAUGAUAAGUCUCCUGUGGGGGGUGGAUUGCAUGUGCAUGUAAUGAUUUGUGUUUUGAUACAUGUGUCUGGUGUAUGUGUGUGUGUUCCUGUGCUUGGGGAUGCUUCCUUCCUUGGACUUACAAGCCCUGACACACACAUGCUGGCAAAAUGCUUCUGCUUGACCCGUCUUGAAACACGGACCAAGGAGUCUAACAGAUGUGCAAAGUUUGAAGGUGGUAUACCUUUGUGUGCAAUGAAAGUGUCAGCUGGGAUAUGUGCACCAGCACCCAAUUAAUUAGCGGACAGAGGUUUGAGUUGGAGCAUAUCUAUUAGGACCCGAAAGAUGGUGAACUAUGCCUGAACAGAAUGAAUUCAGGGGAAACUCUGAUGGAGGUUCGUAUCGAUACUGACGUGCAAAUCGUUCGU
Molecule: ribosomal RNA, 952 nt
Filed under: Alexandrium tamarense
Lineage: Eukaryota; Dinophyceae; Gonyaulacales; Pyrocystaceae
Description: LSU rRNA
Rfam family: Eukaryotic large subunit ribosomal RNA
Source: RNAcentral